This is an unclassified non-coding RNA of Callithrix jacchus (white-tufted-ear marmoset), 297 nucleotides long. It matches the Rfam family "Metazoan signal recognition particle RNA". Rfam says of the family: The signal recognition particle (SRP) is a universally conserved ribonucleoprotein. The record is from Ensembl. NCBI's taxonomy places the organism in Eukaryota, Metazoa, Chordata, Mammalia, Primates, Cebidae.
ACUGGGCACAGUGGCACAUGCCUAGUCCCAGCUACUCAGGAGGCUGAGGUAGGAGGAUCGCUUGAGCCCAGGAGUUCUGGGCUGUAGUGCGAUAUGCUGAUCAGGUGUCUACACUAAAUUCGGCAGCAAUAUGGAGACCUCCUGGGAGCUGGGGACAGCGAGGUUGCCUACAGAGGAGUGAGCCAGCCCAGCUCGGAAAUGGAGCAGGUCAAAACUCCUGUGCUGAUCAGUAAUGGGAUCGCACCUGUGAAUAGCCACUGCAGUCCAGCCUGGGCUGUUAGAGAGACCCCGUCUCUU